GAUGAACGCUGGCGGCGUGCCUAAUACAUGCAAGUCGAGCGAACGGACGAGAAGCUUGCUUCUCUGAUGUUAGCGGCGGACGGGUGAGUAACACGUGGAUAACCUACCUAUAAGACUGGGAUAACUUCGGGAAACCGUAGCUAAUACCGGAUAAUAUUUUGAACCGCAUGGUUCAAAAGUGAAAGACGGUCUUGCUGUCACUUAUAGGUGGAUCCGCGCUGCAUUAGCUAGUUGGUAAGGUAACGGCUUACCAAGGCAACGAUGCAUAGCCGACCUGAGAGGGUGAUCGGCCACACUGGAACUGAGACACGGUCCAGACUCCUACGGGAGGCAGCAGUAGGGAAUCUUCCGCAAUGGGCGAAAGCCUGACGGAGCAACGCCGCGUGAGUGAUGAGGGUCUUCGGAUCGUAAAACUCUGUUAUUAGGGAAGAACAUAUGUGUAAGUAACUGUGCACAUCUUGACGGUACCUAAUCAGAAAGCCACGGCUAACUACGUG
Molecule: ribosomal RNA, 497 nt
Filed under: uncultured bacterium
Lineage: Bacteria
Description: partial 16S ribosomal RNA
Rfam family: Bacterial small subunit ribosomal RNA
Source: RNAcentral